CCUACGGUGGGCAGCAGUGAGGAAUAUUGGUCAAUGGGCGCGAGCCUGAACCAGCCAAGUCGCGUGAGGGAAGACGGUCCUAUGUAUUGUAAACCUCUUUUGUCGGGGAGCAAAAGACGCCACGCGUGGCGUUCCGAGAGUACACGAAGAAAACGCAUCGGCUAACUCCGUGCCAGCAGCCGCGGUAAUACGGAGGCUGCAAGUGUUAUCCGGAUUUAUUGGGUUAAAGGGGUGCGCAGGCGGAAGAUCAGGUCAGCGGUAAACUUGAGGGGCUCAACCUCUUCGAGCCGUUGAAACUGGUUUUCUUGAGUGAGUGAGAAGUAUGCGGAAUGCGUGGUGUAGCGGUGAAAUGCAUAGAUAUCACGCAGAACUCCGAUUGCGAAGGCAGCAUACCGGCGCUCAACUGACGCUCAUGCACGAAAGUGUGGGUAUCGAACAGGAUUAGAUACCCUUGUAGUC
Molecule: ribosomal RNA, 459 nt
Filed under: uncultured bacterium
Lineage: Bacteria
Description: partial 16S ribosomal RNA
Rfam family: Bacterial small subunit ribosomal RNA
Source: RNAcentral